Molecule: ribosomal RNA, 411 nt
Filed under: uncultured bacterium
Lineage: Bacteria
Description: bacterial SSU rRNA
Rfam family: Bacterial small subunit ribosomal RNA
Source: RNAcentral
GUGCCAGCAGCCGCGGUAAUACAGAGGGUGCGACCGUUAAUCGGAAUUACUGGGCGUAAAGCGCACGUAGGUGGCGACGUAAGUCGGGUGUGAAAGCCCGGGCUCAACCUGGAAUUGCAUUCGAGACUGCAUUGCUGGAGUACGGAAGAGGAGGGCGGAAUUUCCGGUGUAGCGGUGAAAUGCGUAGAUAUCGGGAGGAACAUCAGUGGUGAAGGCGGCCCUCUGGUCCAGUACUGACACUCAAGUGCGAAAGCCUGGGGAGCAAACAGGAUUAGAUACCCUGGUAGUCCACGCCCUAAACGAUGACGACUGGAUGUCGGAAGGGUCUGGCUUUCGGUGUCGUAGCUAACGCGUUAAGUCGUCCGCCUGGGGAGUACGGCCGCAAGGUUGAAACUCAAAUGAAUUGACGGG